UACAGAGGGGGCAAGCGUUGUUCGGAAUUACUGGGCGUAAAGGGCGCGUAGGCGGCCUGUUAAGUCGAACGUGAAAUCCCCGGGCUCAACCCGGGAACUGCGUCCGAUACUGGCAGGCUUGAAUCCGGGAGAGGGAUGCGGAAUUCCAGGUGUAGCGGUGAAAUGCGUAGAUAUCUGGAGGAACACCGGUGGCGAAGGCGGGUCUCUGGGCAAUAACUGACGCUGAGGAGCGAAAGCGUGGGGAGCGAACAGG
Molecule: ribosomal RNA, 253 nt
Filed under: uncultured bacterium
Lineage: Bacteria
Description: partial 16S ribosomal RNA
Rfam family: Bacterial small subunit ribosomal RNA
Source: RNAcentral